This 273-nucleotide ribosomal RNA is filed under the name uncultured prokaryote. RNAcentral describes it as "partial 16S ribosomal RNA". It matches the Rfam family "Bacterial small subunit ribosomal RNA", at positions 524 to 796 of the family's 1533-position model. The record is from RNAcentral.
UACGAAGGGUGCAAGCGUUACUCGGAAUUACUGGGCGUAAAGCGUGCGUAGGCGGUUUGUUAAGUCUGUCGUGAAAGCCCCGGGCUCAACCUGGGAAUGGCGAUGGAUACUGGCAAGCUAGAGUGUGUCAGAGGAUGGUGGAAUUCCCGGUGUAGCGGUGAAAUGCGUAGAGAUCGGGAGGAACACCAGUGGCGAAGGCGGCCAUCUGGGACAACACUGACGCUGAGGCACGAAAGCGUGGGGAGCAAACAGGAUUAGAAACCCUAGUAGUCC